This 95-nucleotide transfer RNA is filed under the name Actinomadura madurae. RNAcentral's name for it is "tRNA-Ser(gct)". The record is from RNAcentral. Lineage: Bacteria; Bacillati; Actinomycetota; Actinomycetes; Streptosporangiales; Thermomonosporaceae.
GCGCGGACGCCGGGCGAGGGCCGCCGGGCGCCGCUGCUGGCGGCGUCGGGGAUGCUGCCGUCGGUCCUCCUCGGGUUCGCGGCCGGCCUCGCGCU